GUCACCUUUGGAAACCAUACGUUUUUCAAAGUCUGUGAGUUAGUAUCUGUUCUACAAAGAAGUUCAUUCUGUCCUUUUUUCAGAUUCCACAUGUCAGUGAAAGCAUUCGAUGUUGGUGUCUCACUGUCUGAACUGACUUUCACUUAGCAUGAUAAUUUCUAGGUCCAUCCAUGUUGCUAAAAAUGCCAGUAUUUCUUUCCUUAUAAUGGCUGAGUAAUAUUCCAUUGUGUAUAUGUACCACAUCUUCCUGAUCCACUCCUCUGUUGAUGAACAUUUAGGUGGUUUCCAUGUCUUGGCUAUUGCAAAUAGUGCUGCAAUGAACAUCAGAGUACAUGUGUCUUUGUGAAUCAUGGUUUUCUCUGGAUAGAUGCCCAGGAGUGGGAUUUCUGGAUCAAAUGAUAGUUCUAUUUUUAGUUUUCUGAGGAAUCUCCAUACUGUUUUCCACAGUAGUUGUACCAAUUUACAAUCCCACUAACAGUGUAAUAGGGUUCCUUUUUCUCCACACCCUCUCCAGCACUUAUUGUUUGUAGACUUUUUGAUGGCAGCCAUUCUGGCUGGUGUAAGCUGAUACCUCAUAGUGGUUUUGAUUUGCAUUUCUCUAAUGAUGAGUGAUGUUGAACAUCUUUUCAUGUAUUUUUUUCAUUUGUCUUCUUUGGAGAAUUGUCUGUUUAGAUCUUCUGCCCAUUUUUUGAUGGGGUUGUUUGUUUUUUUUGGUAUUGAGCUGCAGAAGGUGUUUAUAAAUUUUGGAGAUUAAUCCCAUGUCAGUUGAUUCAUUUACAAAGAUUUUCUCAUAUUAAUGAUGGCCGUUCUGACAGGGGUGAGGUGGUACCACAGUAAUCAAGACAGUGUGGUACUGGUACAAAAUUAGACAUACAGAUCAAUGGAACAAAAUAGAGAACCCAGAAAAAAAAAACCCAGAUGCCUAUGGUCAAUUAAUCUUCAACAAAGGAGGCAAGUAUAUAAAAUGUGAAAAAGUGUUUUCAGCAAGUGGUGCUGGGAAAACUGGACAGAUGUAUGUAAGUCAUUGAAACUGGAACACACCCUCACACCAUGCACAAAAAUAAACUCAAAAUGACUUGAGGACUUAAAUGUAAG
RNAcentral lists this long non-coding RNA (1095 nucleotides) under Sus scrofa (pig). RNAcentral describes it as "lncRNA (ENSSSCG00030068928.1)". The record is from RNAcentral. Lineage: Eukaryota; Metazoa; Chordata; Mammalia; Artiodactyla; Suidae.